AGUGCUGAAAGCAUCUAAGUACGAAACUUGCCUUAAGAUGAGUUCUCCCACAUGAAAGUGUGUAAGGGUUGUUUAAGACUAAGACGUAGAUAGGUGGGGUGUGUAAGUGUAGUGAUAUAUUGAGCUAACCCAUACUAAUUGCCCGAGAGGCUUAACUAUACAACGCUCAAG
This 171-nucleotide ribosomal RNA is filed under the name Rodentibacter heidelbergensis. RNAcentral's name for it is "partial 23S ribosomal RNA". It matches the Rfam family "Bacterial large subunit ribosomal RNA", at positions 2767 to 2925 of the family's 2925-position model. Lineage: Bacteria; Pseudomonadati; Pseudomonadota; Gammaproteobacteria; Pasteurellales; Pasteurellaceae. The record is from RNAcentral.